This 93-nucleotide non-coding RNA is filed under the name unclassified sequences. Its description in RNAcentral is "Rhodo-rpoB RNA". It matches the Rfam family "Rhodo-rpoB RNA". The record is from RNAcentral.
GGCUCGGGAGUGCACCAGUGGGAAGGUGCGCAGGAAUAGGGCCCCACACCCGUUUCGCAUGCGGCCGGCGGCUGAGGCCCGACAGCCCGCCCG